RNAcentral lists this ribosomal RNA (427 nucleotides) under uncultured bacterium. RNAcentral's name for it is "partial 16S ribosomal RNA". It matches the Rfam family "Bacterial small subunit ribosomal RNA", at positions 355 to 774 of the family's 1533-position model. The record is from RNAcentral.
UGGGGAAUAUUGCACAAUGGGCGCAAGCCUGAUGCAGCCAUGCCGCGUGUAUGAAGAAGGCCUUCGGGUUGUAAAGUACCUUCAGCGGGGAGGAAGGCGAUAAGGUUAAUAACCUUGUCGAUUGACGUUACCCGCAGAAGAAGCACCGGCUAACUCCGUGCCAGCAGCCGCGGUAAUACGGAGGGUGCAAGCGUUAAUCGGAAUUACUGGGCGUAAAGCGCACGCAGGCGGUCUGUCAAGUCGGAUGUGAAAUCCCCGGGCUCAACCUGGGAACUGCAUUCGAAACUGGCAGGCUAGAGUCUUGUAGAGGGGGGUAGAAUUCCAGGUGUAGCGGUGAAAUGCGUAGAGAUCUGGAGGAAUACCGGUGGCGAAGGCGGCCCCCUGGACAAAGACUGACGCUCAGGUGCGAAAGCGUGGGGAGCAAACA